UGAUCUAUUAGCUCAGAUGGCCAGAGCGCCGCCCUGUCACGGCGGAGGUCGCCGGUUCAAGCCCGGCAUAGAUCGCCAA
This 79-nucleotide transfer RNA is filed under the name Acidithiobacillus ferrooxidans ATCC 23270. RNAcentral describes it as "tRNA-Asp". It matches the Rfam family "tRNA". Rfam says of the family: Transfer RNA (tRNA) molecules are approximately 80 nucleotides in length. Their secondary structure includes four short double-helical elements and three loops (D, anti-codon, and T loops). Lineage: Bacteria; Pseudomonadati; Pseudomonadota; Acidithiobacillia; Acidithiobacillales; Acidithiobacillaceae. The record is from RNAcentral.